This 253-nucleotide ribosomal RNA is filed under the name uncultured bacterium. RNAcentral's name for it is "partial 16S ribosomal RNA". It matches the Rfam family "Bacterial small subunit ribosomal RNA", at positions 524 to 776 of the family's 1533-position model. The record is from RNAcentral.
UACGUAGGGGGCUAGCGUUGUCCGGAAUCAUUGGGCGUAAAGAGCGUGUAGGCGGUCCGGUAAGUCCGCUGUGAAAGUCCAGGGCUCAACCCUGGGAUGCCGGUGGAUACUGUCGGGCUCGAGUCCGGAAGAGGCGAGUGGAAUUCCUGGUGUAGCGGUGAAAUGCGCAGAUAUCAGGAGGAACACCAAUGGCGAAGGCAGCUCGCUGGGACGUGACUGACGCUGAGACGCGAAAGCGUGGGGAGCAAACAGG